This 613-nucleotide long non-coding RNA is filed under the name Scleropages formosus (Asian bonytongue). Its description in RNAcentral is "lncRNA (ENSSFOG00015032390.1)". Lineage: Eukaryota; Metazoa; Chordata; Actinopteri; Osteoglossiformes; Osteoglossidae. The record is from RNAcentral.
AUUAUCUAAAUGGAUGUGGCUAUGAAUGGAACCAACUCUGAUGACACCUGGAUUCAAAAUAUGAGACCUGAGGUGUCAAAAGUGAGCAUGGCCAUCAUUCUUCUGGCCGUGAUCACCUUCCUGCUGCAGUUAAGCCUGGUUCUAACUGUGAUGUACAGAUGUUGGAGGAAGGACAAAAAAAUCUGCAGGAUGAUGGGCCGGCCUUUCAGCAAAGCAUGUGUCACAGAAGAUACUCAGUGUCUGGCUGGCCAACAGAGGGACUGCUCCAGAUCUACCUCAUAUGUAAUUCCCUGUUACCGUGAGGAGCCUGCAGCUUUCCCUCCCUGGGACUUGGUGCAGUUCGUCUGAAAAGGACACAGAUCAAGACACUUGUCAUUUGGGCUGAAAUACCUAUCUGUUGCUUUUCUGCUGAAAGUUAACGACUGCCUGUGUUAACAGGUUAGCUAACCCUAACCCUAACAGAUUUAGGCAAGUAACAACUACAAAAGUGGGAGAAAGAAUCUUGGAGGUGAGAGACACCUUCAAGGACUUGUAAUCAUUGAUGGAAACCACAUUAAGUAAAAUGAUAUUUUUAGACAAUAAAUAAUUUUAUCUAAAUUGUCCCGAUAAUUGC